Molecule: ribosomal RNA, 491 nt
Filed under: uncultured bacterium
Lineage: Bacteria
Description: partial 16S ribosomal RNA
Rfam family: Bacterial small subunit ribosomal RNA
Source: RNAcentral
GAUGAACGCUGGCUACAGGCUUAACACAUGCAAGUCGAGGGGAAACGCCGGGGAAGCUUGCUUCCCCGGGCGUCGACCGGCGCACGGGUGAGUAACGCGUAUCCAACCUGCCUCUGACUGAGGGAUAACCCGUCGAAAGUCGGCCUAAUACCUCAUGGUAUCGUCUGCGGGCAUCCAACGACGAUUAAAGAUUUCAUCGGUCAGGGAUGGGGAUGCGUCUGAUUAGCUUGUUGGCGGGGUAACGGCCCACCAAGGCUACGAUCAGUAGGGGUUCUGAGAGGAAGGUCCCCCACAUUGGAACUGAGACACGGUCCAAACUCCUACGGGAGGCAGCAGUGAGGAAUAUUGGUCAAUGGGCGAGAGCCUGAACCAGCCAAGUAGCGUGCAGGAAGACGGCCCUAUGGGUUGUAAACUGCUUUUAUGCGGGGAUAAAGUGAGGGACGUGUCCCUCAUUGCAGGUACCGCAUGAAUAAGGACCGGCUAAUUCCGUG